Ovis aries (sheep) is the source of this 72-nucleotide non-coding RNA. The record is from Rfam. Lineage: Eukaryota; Metazoa; Chordata; Mammalia; Artiodactyla; Bovidae.
UCUCUGAUAGCUCAGUUGGUAAAGAAUCUGCCUGUAAUGCAGGAGAUCCUGGUUUGAUUCCUGGGUCAGGAA